AGCGAACGCUGGCGGCAUGCUUAACACAUGCAAGUUGCACGGACUUUUCGGAGUUAGUGGCGGACGGGUGAGUAACGCGUAGGAACGUGUCCAUGGGUGGGGGAUAACAUUGGGAAACUGGUGCUAAUACCGCAUGAUACCUGAGGGUUAAAGGCUUUUGUUGCCUGUGGAGUGGCCUGCGUUUGAUUAGCUAGUUGGUUAGGUAAAGGCUGACCAAGGCAGUGAUCGAUAGCUGGUUUGAGAGGAUGAUCAGCCACACUGGGACUGAGACACGGCCCAGACUCUUACGGGAGGCAGCAGUGGGGAAUAUUGGACAAUGGGGGCAACCCUGAUCCAGCAAUGCCGCGUGUGUGAAGAAGGUCUUCGGAUUGUAAAGCACUU
This 381-nucleotide ribosomal RNA is filed under the name uncultured Rhodospirillales bacterium. RNAcentral's name for it is "bacterial SSU rRNA". It matches the Rfam family "Bacterial small subunit ribosomal RNA", at positions 29 to 435 of the family's 1533-position model. Lineage: Bacteria; Pseudomonadati; Pseudomonadota; Alphaproteobacteria; Rhodospirillales. The record is from RNAcentral.